ACACUUCUGCACAGUCUCAAGAUUAAGCCAUGCAUGUCUAAGUACACACUGUGGCACAGUGAAACCGCGAAUGGCUCAUUAAAUCAGUUAUGGUUUAUUAGAUCGUGCGUUCUAUGUGGAUAACUGUGGUAAUUCUAGAGCUAAUACAUGCAACUGGCCCUGACUUUACGGAGGGGCGCUUUUAUUAGAUCAAAACCAAUCACACUUCGGUGUGUUGUUGUGAUGACUCUGGAUAACUUUGUGCCGACCGCAUGGCCUUGUGCCGGCGGCGUAUCUUUCAAAUGUCUGCCCUAUCAACUUUCGAUGGUAGGUGAUAUGCCUACCAUGGUUGUAACGGGUAACGGAGAAUCAGGGUUCGAUUCCGGAGAGGGAGCCUGAGAAACGGCUACCACAUCCAAGGAAGGCAGCAGGCGCGCAAAUUACCCACUCCCGGCACGGGGAGGUAGUGACGAAAAAUAACAAUGCUGGGCUUCAAGUCCGGUAAUUGGAAUGAGUACACUUUAAAUCCUUUAACGAGGAUCUAUUGGAGGGCAAGUCUGGUGCCAGCAGCCGCGGUAAUUCCAGCUCCAAUAGCGUAUAUUAAAGUUGUUGCGGUUAAAAAGCUCGUAGUUGGAUCUGCGACCAUCAAGACUGGUAGCCCAUUGGGUUUCACUAGUUCUUGUGGUCUCCUUACUGGUUUUUCCUUGGUGCUCUUAAUUGAGUGCCUUGGUUGGCUAGUGCUUUUACUUUGAAAAAAUUAGAGUGCUCAAAGCAGGCGUUUGCCUGAAUAGUGGUGCAUGGAAUAAUGGAAUAGGACCUCGGUUCUAUUUUGUUGGUUUUCGGAGCUCGAGGUAAUGAUUAAGAGGGACAGACGGGGGCAUUCGUACUGCUGCGUUAGAGGUGAAAUUCUUGGAUCGCAGCAUGACGAACAACUGCGAAAGCAUUUGCCAAGAAUGUUUUCAUUAAUCAAGAACGAUAGUUAGAGGUUCGAACGCGAUCAGAUACCGCCCUAGUUCUAACCGUAAACGAUGCCCAACUAGCAAUCCGCUGGCGUUAAUUUUGACUCAGCGGGCGGCUGCCCGGAAACGAUAAGUUUUUCGGUUCCGGGGAAGUAUGGUGCAAAUCGAAGCUAAGAUGACGAGGGCACCACCAGAUGAGCUGCGCUUAAUUGACUCAAUACGGGAAAACCUCCACCCGG
This 1177-nucleotide ribosomal RNA is filed under the name uncultured eukaryote. RNAcentral's name for it is "bacterial SSU rRNA". It matches the Rfam family "Eukaryotic small subunit ribosomal RNA", at positions 20 to 1222 of the family's 1831-position model. The record is from RNAcentral.